Molecule: non-coding RNA, 24 nt
Filed under: Cricetulus griseus (Chinese hamster)
Lineage: Eukaryota; Metazoa; Chordata; Mammalia; Rodentia; Cricetidae
Source: RNAcentral
UGGCUGUGUCAUUGUUUAACUUGG